CGCGGCCUAUCAGCUUGUUGGUGGGGUAAUGGCCUACCAAGGCGAUGACGGGUAGCCGGCCUGAGAGGGCGACCGGCCACACUGGGACUGAGAUACGGCCCAGACUCCUACGGGAGGCAGCAGUGGGGAAUAUUGCACAAUGGGCGAAAGCCUGAUGCAGCAACGCCGCGUGCGGGAUGACGGCCUUCGGGUUGUAAACCGCUUUCACCAGGGGCGAAUUUGACGGUACCUGGAGAAGAAGCACCGGCUAACUACGUGCCAGCAGCCGCGGUGAUACGUAGGGUGCGAGCGUUGUCCGGAUUUAUUGGGCGUAAAGAGCUCGUAGGUGGUUUGUUGCGUCGGAAGUGAAAACACAGGGCUUAACUCUGUGCUUGCUUUCGAUACGGGCAGACUUGAGGAAGGUAGGGGAGAACGGAAUUCCUGGUGGAGCGGUGGAAUGCGCAGAUAUCAGGAGGAACACCAGUGGCGAAGGCGGUUCUUUGGACCUUUCCUGACGCUGAGGAGCGAAAGCGUGGGGAGCAAACAGGCUUAGAUACCCUGGUAGUCCACGCCGUAAACGGUGGGCACUAGGUGUGGGGGACAUUCCACGUUCUCCGUGCCGUAGCUAACUCUUUAAGUGCCCCGCCUGGGGAGUACGG
RNAcentral lists this ribosomal RNA (638 nucleotides) under uncultured Actinomycetes bacterium. RNAcentral's name for it is "bacterial SSU rRNA". It matches the Rfam family "Bacterial small subunit ribosomal RNA", at positions 232 to 885 of the family's 1533-position model. The record is from RNAcentral. Lineage: Bacteria; Bacillati; Actinomycetota; Actinomycetes.